CGUCGACGCGAGCGCAGUAUCGCACCGCUCCCCACCCACCUCAGUCCCGCGCACGCCGCCAGUCGCUACGAACGUAUUACGUAUCAAAAAUUAACAAAAUACAAUGAAAGAGCCUAAGCGUUGCAAUUGGACGAAAAUACAAGGAGAAUUAAUCCAUCUAGUAAAAAAAUAUAAAGUAUAUGAGAUGCAAGAUGAAAAAGUAACGAUGGUAGCUUGGAAUAAGAUAUCCGAUGAUUUGAAACUGAGCGUGGACAAAUGUCGCAGACUAUGGGAUAGUCUAAGUAUGGUUUAUAAAAGAUUGAAGUUAAUGAUCAUAGAAGGAAAAUUGUCUGAGUCCGAAGCCCGCAAGAAUUAUUGGGUGGCAAAAUAUGUUGAUGGAAGUCUAGCUUUCCUCGAGCCAUUCGUUCUGAAAGCACCUCCAGACGAAAUCGAAAAGAUAAAAAACCAUGCGAAUACCAAGCGAAUUCUCUCACAUUUACUACGAUAUGACAUAGAUAAGAGCUCUUCCGUUCCUUCGUCAAGUCGCGUGAGGAAACGACGAUUUGAUCUAUCUAAUUUUACAGUAAAACACUGUUGGAAUACCAAACAAAAAUAUCCAUUAGAGACUUACAUGGAUGAUUUAGCACGUGCUGUAUGCACUUCACUACAACCUGCAGACCGUAGAAUGUUCAUUAAAGAAAUCGAUACAAUUGUAAGUGAUUUGUUGCAAAAAUGAAUAUUUUCUUUUUUUACAUUUACUCGUAUAGCUGACGUCGAAAUGGUCUUACUUUAGAAGAAUGAAGACGAUUCGGACAUCGAGUAGACACGAUUGUUAAUAACUUGUUGAUUAAACGUCUUAUAUAAAUUGUGAUAAUUAUCUUGCACUGUUUACUUACGUAACUGUUUGACGAAGUAGCUCGACUAGUUUCAAGUCACACUGGAGGCCUAUAGUUAUGAGCACAAGAAAGACGACGCGGCGAGCGUCACACGGUCAAUAUCUCUAAUAUUAAAACUAAACGAGUUACAUCGUCGAACAGUUAGACUAUACGUAUUUUAAUGUCUGAAGUAUAACUAGACAGAUAGCAUUUUGACUACAAGUCUUGCAUAAACUAAUUUUGUCUAUAUGAGGACAGGGUUGUUGGUUGUGUAUUGAACUAUGUUUAACUGUUAUAUUUUCUUUUGUAUUACUAGUUUAUAAGUUCUUAUAAUGUAACCAUUUACUGUUCAUCAAUAGAAAAUAAAAUACAGAAAUCUUUAGCUUCCAUUGCAGUCAUGUAUCAGAGCGCGUUCGGCGUUCUGAUUGGCCGGCUCGAAUAAACCGACCAAUCAGAACGCCGAAUGCGCUCUCGUUUCGGUUACUUUAAAUGUAAAGCAAACUCGUACUAAGGAUACGAGUCUAAUAUAACCAAAAAACAUACAAUAAUUACGUGAUUAAGGCCUAUAAUGCUAUUGGUUCGUUCACUUGAAAAAAAAUAUUGAUAGAAUCUUCAGAGUCAGCAAUAACAACUGAUCAAUUACGUUCGUAAUGUGCCUGUUUUGUCUGGAAACUUGUUAUUUCGUUAAUUGUUUUGCUAUCGCCUUAACGACCAUGUGGAAUUGUGAUAUCUCAGUGUUAAUGCACUGUUUUUAUAACAACUUGCAAGUGUUUUGAACUCUUACUUUGUAUGCAUUAAGGUUGAAAAUGUGAUAAUUUUAUUCGAUCUUUUUUAAUAUGUUUUAAUUUGUUAAUCAAACUGCUGUAUUCAUAGACAUUUAACGUUUACUUAAACCUAUUCCUUAGUUUCUGUUCCGAAAACAAACGCUAAGGAUUGGGUUAAAUAACCAUUAAAUGACUCUGAGUACGGCGGUUAGUUUUGGAGUAGGUAGACCAGGGCACGUCCCUAACUUAAAUGAAGACUUACUUGUUUCUAUACAAAUAAUUGUAAUAAACAUUUAUACUUAACAA
This is a long non-coding RNA of Spodoptera frugiperda (fall armyworm), 1924 nucleotides long. RefSeq lists it as uncharacterized. Lineage: Eukaryota; Metazoa; Arthropoda; Insecta; Lepidoptera; Noctuidae. The record is from RefSeq and is a predicted model, not a curated record. The transcript has 2 exons.